RNAcentral lists this ribosomal RNA (229 nucleotides) under uncultured bacterium. RNAcentral describes it as "partial 16S ribosomal RNA". It matches the Rfam family "Bacterial small subunit ribosomal RNA", at positions 568 to 796 of the family's 1533-position model. The record is from RNAcentral.
UCCGCAGGCGGACUAAUAAGUCAGUGGUGAAAUCUCUCGGCUCAACCGAGAAACUGCCAUUGAUACUGUUAGUCUAGAGUGUAGUUGGCGUAGGCGGAAUAUAUCAUGUAGCGGUGAAAUGCUUAGAUAUGAUAUAGAACACCGAUCGCGAAGGCAGCUUACGAAACUACAACUGACGCUCAGGGACGAAAGCGUGGGGAGCGAACAGGAUUAGAUACCCUGGUAGUCC